GUGUUCGCUUUGGCAGCACAUAUACUAAAAUUGGAACAAUACAGAGACGAUUAGCAUGGCCCCUGUGCAAGGAUGACACCCACGUAGUGACAGGGACCCAAGUGCAUA
Small nuclear RNA from Ochotona curzoniae (black-lipped pika), 108 nucleotides. The record is from RefSeq and is a predicted model, not a curated record. Lineage: Eukaryota; Metazoa; Chordata; Mammalia; Lagomorpha; Ochotonidae.